UCGAGCGGACAGAUGGGAGCUUGCUCCCUGAUGUUAGCGGCGGACGGGUGAGUAACACGUGGGUAACCUGCCUGUAAGACUGGGAUAACUCCGGGAAACCGGGGCUAAUACCGGAUGGUUGUUUGAACCGCAUGGUUCAAACAUAAAAGGUGGCUUCGGCUACCACUUACAGAUGGACCCGCGGCGCAUUAGCUAGUUGGUGAGGUAACGGCUCACCAAGGCAACGAUGCGUAGCCGACCUGAGAGGGUGAUCGGCCACACUGGGACUGAGACACGGCCCAGACUCCUACGGGAGGCAGCAGUAGGGAAUCUUCCGCAAUGGACGAAAGUCUGACGGAGCAACGCCGCGUGAGUGAUGAAGGUUUUCGGAUCGUAAAGCUCUGUUGUUAGGGAAGAACAAGUACCGUUCGAAUAGGGCGGUACCUUGACGGUACCUAACCAGAAAGCCACGGCUAACUACGUGCCAGCAGCCGCGGUAAUACGUAGGUGGCAAGCGUUGUCCGGAAUUAUUGGGCGUAAAGGGCUCGCAGGCGGUUUCUUAAGUCUGAUGUGAAAGCCCCCGGCUCAACCGGGGAGGGUCAUUGGAAACUGGGGAACUUGAGUGCAGAAGAGGAGAGUGGAAUUCCACGUGUAGCGGUGAAAUGCGUAGAGAUGUGGAGGAACACCAGUGGCGAAGGCGACUCUCUGGUCUGUAACUGACGCUGAGGAGCGAAAGCGUGGGGAGCGAACA
RNAcentral lists this ribosomal RNA (730 nucleotides) under Bacillus sp. enrichment culture clone DWSRK101. RNAcentral describes it as "bacterial SSU rRNA". It matches the Rfam family "Bacterial small subunit ribosomal RNA", at positions 62 to 774 of the family's 1533-position model. The record is from RNAcentral. Lineage: Bacteria; Bacillati; Bacillota; Bacilli; Caryophanales; Bacillaceae.